RNAcentral lists this ribosomal RNA (1064 nucleotides) under Melanotrema lynceodes. Its description in RNAcentral is "eukaryotic LSU rRNA". It matches the Rfam family "Eukaryotic large subunit ribosomal RNA", at positions 119 to 1133 of the family's 3401-position model. Lineage: Eukaryota; Fungi; Ascomycota; Lecanoromycetes; Ostropales; Graphidaceae. The record is from RNAcentral.
CUUCCCCGGUGACUGGCUCGGGCGAGUUGUUAUUUGAGAGAGGUGCUUCGGGCGCGGUCGCGGUCCAUGUCUCUUGGAACAGAGCGUCCCAGAGGGUGAGAAUCCCGUAGCGAUCGACGGCCAGUCCCAUGUGAAGCCCUUUCGAUGAGUCGAGUUGUUUGGGAAUGCAGCUCCAAAUGGGUGGUAAAUUUCAUCUAAGGCUAAAUACCUGCCGGAGACCGAUAGCGCACAAGUAGAGUGAUCGAAAGAUGAAAAGCACUUUGAAAAGAGAGUCAAAAAGUACGUGAAAUUGUUAAAAGGGAAGCGCUUGCAACCAGACUCGCUCGCGGGUGUUCAGCCGUCCUCCGGGCCGGUGCACUCUCCCGCGAUCGGGCCAGCGUCGGUUCGGGCGGUCGGACAAAGGCUUCGGGAACGUGGCUCCCCUCGGGGAGUGUUACAGCCCGUUGCGCAAUGCGGCCAGCCGGGACCGAGGGUCGCGCAUCAGCUAGGAUGCUGGCGUAAUGGUUGCCAGCGACCCGUCUUGAAACACGGACCAAGGAGUCGACCAAUCGAACGAGUAUUUGGGUGUCAAGCCCAGAUGCGGAAUGAAAGUGAACGGAGGUGGGAGCCCUCGGGUGCACCAUCGACCGAUCCUGAUGUCUUCGGAUGGAUUUGAGUAUGAGUUUGGCUGGUCGGACCCGAAAGAUGGCGAUCUAUACGCGGUGCAGGUACGUGGGCCUUUUUCAUACCGAAUUUUUUCAUGCCCUCGUACUUGGGCCGGUUACUGACAUGACGACAGGGUGAAGCCAGAGGAAACUCUGGUGGAGGCUCGCAGCGGUUCUGACGUGCAAAUCGAUCGUCGAACCUGCGUAUAGGGGCGAAAGACUAAUCGAGCCGUCUAGUAGCUGGUUCCCGUCGAAGUUUCCCUCAGGAUAGCAGCAGCGGGAACAUAGUCUCAUGAGGUAGAGCGAACGAUUAGAGGCCUGGGGGUUGAAACAACCUUCACCUAUUCUCGAACUUCGAAUAUGUGAGAAGUCCUUGUUACUUCGUUGAACGUGGGCAUUGGAUAUUCGUUUUAUGGCCCC